CAGCAGCCGCGGGAAUACGUAGGUGGCAAGCGUUGUCCGGAAUUAUUGGGCGUAAAGGGCUCGCAGGCGGUUUCUUAAGUCUGAUGUGAAAGCCCCCGGCUCAACCGGGGAGGGUCAUUGGAAACUGGGAAACUUGAGUGCAGAAGAGGAGAGUGGAAUUCCACGUGUAGCGGUGAAAUGCGUAGAGAUGUGGAGGAACACCAGUGGCGAAGGCGACUCUCUGGUCUGAAACUGACGCUGAGGAGCGAAAGCGUGGGGAGCGAACAGGAUUAGAUACCCGAGUAGUCCCUGUCUCUUCACA
This 301-nucleotide ribosomal RNA is filed under the name uncultured bacterium. RNAcentral's name for it is "partial 16S ribosomal RNA". It matches the Rfam family "Bacterial small subunit ribosomal RNA", at positions 509 to 808 of the family's 1533-position model. The record is from RNAcentral.